Nerophis ophidion (straightnose pipefish) is the source of this 905-nucleotide long non-coding RNA. RefSeq lists it as uncharacterized. NCBI's taxonomy places the organism in Eukaryota, Metazoa, Chordata, Actinopteri, Syngnathiformes, Syngnathidae. The transcript has 3 exons. The record is from RefSeq and is a predicted model, not a curated record.
AAAUUGGGUGGGGUUUGUAGGGGGAAGAAAUUUGGCGUGACAACGACAGCGCCCCCCGCCACCCCAAAAGGGAAUAAGCGGUAGAAAAGGAUGGAUGGGGAAUAUUGACAAGCAGGUCUAAACAAAAAAUAAAAAAAUAAAACCUCCAGGGAUUGUAUACGACUUCUGCGUCAACACGUAUAUACACGGACACUUAAAAAUCAAGUUAAUGGGACUUUCCUGACGCAAAAAGCAACAAAACAACACCAUGGCAAGGCCCUGAAUCCUCGAGGCGUCCUAUACUAGGUCAGGCACAGAGCUGUUGGCUGUCUCAAGAGGCCUCGUGUCCAGAGAGCCAACCAACCCCCUGCUGAUGUCCACACCAUAAUGAACAGCAGCCCCUGGAGCCCUACAGAGGUGAAGCCACCAGUACAUGGGGGCCGGAGACCAUGAAUGGGGUCGAAAAGACCGAGAGAGACACAGGGUGAGACGGACACCGAAAGGCACGGGAGGCUGCGGGAGAAAGACUAGCGUGACAGGAACGAAAGACUGAAACUGUGUAUAUACAUUCGCAUGUGCCACAAAGAAAAGGGAAAGGAAACAAAAAAAUAUAAAAACGGUGUCAAUCCAGCUUGGUGGUGUUGAGUGAUCCGGGAGAACGCAAACCGAAAGGCGUCUACAACAAUAUAUAUUAUGAUAUUUUGCCUUGGCCUUGAAUGAACACUUGACGCAUGCAGUAUGAUGAUUCUAUGUGUCUACAUUAAAACAUUCUUCUUCAUACUGCAUUCAUAUAUGCUACUUUUAAACUUUCAUGCAGAGAGGGAAAUCACAACUAAGUCAAUUGACCAAAAGUGUAUUUUAUGAAUAAGUUAUUAAGCAAUGGCACAAACAUUCAUGUCAUUUCCAAAACAGAAAGUGCAAGAUUG